Molecule: ribosomal RNA, 423 nt
Filed under: uncultured bacterium
Lineage: Bacteria
Description: bacterial SSU rRNA
Rfam family: Bacterial small subunit ribosomal RNA
Source: RNAcentral
CAAGACCUGCACUUUUGGAGCGGCCGAUGUCUGAUUAGCUAGUUGGUGGGGUAAUGGCCUACCAAAGCUUCGAUCAGUGGCUGGUCUGAGAGGACGGCCAGCCACACUGGGACUGAGACACGGCCCAGACUCCUACGGGAGGCAGCAGUGGGGAAUUUUGGACAAUGGGCGCAAGCCUGAUCCAGCCAUGCCGCGUGAGUGAAGAAGGCCUUCGGGUUGUAAAGCUCUUUCAGUCGGGAAGAAAAGGUUGCGACUAAUAAUCGCAAUUCAUGACGGUACCGGAAGAAGAAGCACCGGCUAACUACGUGCCAGCAGCCGCGGUAAUACGUAGGGUGCGAGCGUUAAUCGGAAUUACUGGGCGUAAAGGGUGCGCAGGCGGUUUUGUAAGUCAGAUGUGAAAUCCCCGGGCUUAACCUGGGAACU